ACGUCCUACGGGUAGGCAGCAGUCGGGGAAUAUUUGCACAAUGGGCGCAAGCCUGAUGCAGCCAUGCCGCGUGUGAUCGAAGAAGGCCUUCGGGUUGUAAAGUACUUUCAGCAGUGAGGAAUGGUAGUGUAGUUAAAUAGCUCGCAUUAUUUGACGUUAGCUGCAGAAUGAAAGCAACCGGCUAACUCCGUGCCAGCCAGCCGCGGUAAUACGGAGGGUGCGAAGCGUUAAUCGGAAUUACUGGGCGUAAAAGCGCAAUGCAGGUGGUUUGUUAAGUCAGAUGUG
Molecule: ribosomal RNA, 285 nt
Filed under: uncultured bacterium
Lineage: Bacteria
Description: partial 16S ribosomal RNA
Rfam family: Bacterial small subunit ribosomal RNA
Source: RNAcentral